This 497-nucleotide ribosomal RNA is filed under the name uncultured bacterium. Its description in RNAcentral is "partial 16S ribosomal RNA". It matches the Rfam family "Bacterial small subunit ribosomal RNA", at positions 28 to 507 of the family's 1533-position model. The record is from RNAcentral.
GACGAACGCUGGCGGCGUGCCUAAUACAUGCAAGUUGAGCGCUGAAGGUUGGUACUUGUACCAACUGGAUGAGCAGCGAACGGGUGAGUAACGCGUGGGGAAUCUGCCUUUGAGCGGGGGACAACAUUUGGAAACGAAUGCUAAUACCGCAUAAAAACUUUAAACACAAGUUUUAAGUUUGAAAGAUGCAAUUGCAUCACUCAAAGAUGAUCCCGCGUUGUAUUAGCUAGUUGGUGAGGUAAAGGCUCACCAAGGCGAUGAUACAUAGCCGACCUGAGAGGGUGAUCGGCCACAUUGGGACUGAGACACGGCCCAAAAUCCUACGGGAGGCAGCAGUAGGGAAUCUUCGGCAAUGGACGAAAGUCUGACCGAGCAACGCCGCGUGAGUGAAGAAGGUUUUCGGAUCGUAAAACUCUGUUGGUAGAGAAGAAAGUUGGUGAGAGUGGAAAGCUCAUCAAGUGACGGUAACUAACCAGAAAGGGACGGCUAACUACGUG